CUUCCGCCUCAGGAAAUUUGGUGAGCGCUUGAAAAAGUCCAACCCGGAAAAAGACUGUUCACUUCAGUUCCCCCCGACUUCUUGUCCUCCUCUCUUUCUCUCGGACUCAGGUUGUCUUGAAAAUCAGCUCGUAGAAAAGGGCCAGCCACUGGAGGACAUAAGGGGUAUGACAUCUGGACUUUCCAGAGCAGUGGCAGGAUUGAGACCUCCUAGACUUUAUACCACUCAAGUGCAACAGACUCAGGUACUCCAGCAUGUCUGAUUUAACUGUGCUGACUGAAGCCCGGUGGUACCAACGCAUGACAGGGACGCCAUCAGGCCCCACUAGAAACUUCUCAAAGUUCCAGCGAAUGUCAUGGACCUUCAUGGGCUCCCAGAAGAGCUGACUUGAUGAGCCCAAAAGAUCAGAGGUUGGAGGGCAGGCGUUCUGGAGCAGAGAGAGAGAAAUCGACAAUGUUUUUUCUGUUUCUGUGUGGUCUCGUCUUAUCCCCACCCCUAGAAUGUCUACUCACCAGUAUGUAUCUCAGUAUAUUAACUAAUUGACAUGCUCCUAAUGAACCAUAGACAUUCCAAUACAUCAUUACCAGUACAAUCAACAACCAAGAGUUAGUAUGAUAGCAAACAGAAAAGUUUAUUCCUUUCUCUGUUUCUCCCUCAAUCCCAUGAUUAUAUCACAGUGCUUCAAAGAAAGACUAUCUUCUGUU
Molecule: long non-coding RNA, 704 nt
Organism: Bubalus bubalis (water buffalo)
Lineage: Eukaryota; Metazoa; Chordata; Mammalia; Artiodactyla; Bovidae
Exons: 3
Source: RefSeq, a predicted model, not a curated record